CGUGUCUAUCGUACCUUGUUGCUUCGGCGGGCCCGCCGUUUCGACGGCCGCCGGGGAGGCCUUGCGCCCCCGGGCCCGCGCCCGCCGAAGACCCCAACAUGAACGCUGUUCUGAAAGUAUGCAGUCUGAGUUGAUUAUCGUAAUCAGUUAAAACUUUCAACAACGGAUCUCUUGGUUCCGGCAUCGAUGAAGAACGCAGCGAAAUGCGAUAAGUAAUGUGAAUUGCAGAAUUCAGUGAAUCAUCGAGUCUUUGAACGCACAUUGCGCCCCCUGGUAUUCCGGGGGGCAUGCCUGUCCGAGCGUCAUUGCUGCCCUCAAGCACGGCUUGUGUGUUGGGCCCCCGUCCCCCUCUCCCGGGGGACGGGCCCGAAAGGCAGCGGCGGCACCGCGUCCGGUCCUCGAGCGUAUGGGGCUUUGUCACCUGCUCUGUAGGCCCGGCCGGCGCCAGCCGACACCCAACUUUAUUUUUCUAAGGUUGACCUCGGAUCAGGUAGGGAUACCCGCUGAACUUAAGCAU
This 517-nucleotide ribosomal RNA is filed under the name Aspergillus fumigatus. Its description in RNAcentral is "eukaryotic LSU rRNA". The stretch from base 152 to 305 matches the Rfam family "5.8S ribosomal RNA". Lineage: Eukaryota; Fungi; Ascomycota; Eurotiomycetes; Eurotiales; Aspergillaceae. The record is from RNAcentral.